This 254-nucleotide ribosomal RNA is filed under the name uncultured bacterium. RNAcentral describes it as "partial 16S ribosomal RNA". It matches the Rfam family "Bacterial small subunit ribosomal RNA", at positions 524 to 776 of the family's 1533-position model. The record is from RNAcentral.
UACGUAGGGUGCAAGCGUUGUCCGGAAUCAUUGGGCGUAAAGCGCGCGUAGGUGGCUUCGUAAGUCCGUUGUGAAAGUCAAAGGCUCAACCUUUGAAAGCCGAUGGAUACUGCGGAGCUAGAGUACGGAAGAGGCGAGUGGAAUUCCUGGUGUAGCGGUGGAAUGCGCAGAUAUCAGGAGGAACACCAAUAGCGAAGGCAGCUCGCUGGGACGUUACUGACGCUGAGGGCACGAAAGCGUGGGGAGCAAACAGG